GCAUGGCACCAGAAGACAAAGAAAGCUUGAUAAUAGGAAAGAGAUCCUUGAAAGCUAAGAACGAGAACCCUUUCCAUGUUUCAGGACAACCUCCACAAGUAACAAAAGCAAGCUGUCCAAUAUUUGGAAUCCAAUAGGCCAAAAUCGUAGAUGCCAUAGCUCCUGGGAUUCCAAACUUGUAUUUGACAGUGAGUAGCCAUGAAAGGAGGAUGUGAAUCGAAAGAGAAAAAGCUGCCAGGUAUGCAAUAAUCAUGUUCUUGCUCUGUGCUUGAAGGUACAUUUGGCAGGUAAAAGAUGGAAUAAAA
RNAcentral lists this long non-coding RNA (305 nucleotides) under Manihot esculenta (cassava). RNAcentral describes it as "long non-coding RNA (MESC_LNC005668)". The record is from RNAcentral. Lineage: Eukaryota; Viridiplantae; Streptophyta; Magnoliopsida; Malpighiales; Euphorbiaceae.